UUAAGCGACUAAGCGUACACGGUGGAUGCCCUGGCAGUCAGAGGCGAUGAAGGACGUGCUAAUCUGCGAUAAGCGUCGGUGAGGUGAUAUGAACCGUUAUAACCGGCGAUUUCCGAAUGGGGAAACCCAGUGUGAUUCGUCACACUAUCAUUAACUGAAUCCAUAGGUUAAUGAGGCGAACCGGGGGAACUGAAACAUCUAAGUACCCCGAGGAAAAGAAAUCAACCGAGAUUCCCCCAGUAGCGGCGAGCGAACGGGGAGGAGCCCAGAGCCUGAAUCAGUGUGUGUGUUAGUGGAAGCGUCUGGAAAGGCGCGCGAUACAGGGUGACAGCCCCGUACACAAAAAUGCACAUAUUGUGAGCUCGAUGAGUAGGGCGGGACACGUGGUAUCCUGUCUGAAUAUGGGGGGACCAUCCUCCAAGGCUAAAUACUCCUGACUGACCGAUAGUGAACCAGUACCGUGAGGGAAAGGCGAAAAGAACCCCGGCGAGGGGAGUGAAAAAGAACCUGAAACCGUGUACGUACAAGCAGUGGGAGCCUCUUAAUGGGGUGACUGCGUACCUUUUGUAUAAUGGGUCAGCGACUUAUAUUCUGUAGCAAGGUUAACCGAAUAGGGGAGCCGAAGGGAAACCGAGUCUUAACUGGGCGUUAAGUUGCAGGGUAUAGACCCGAAACCCGGUGAUCUAGCCAUGGGCAGGUUGAAGGUUGGGUAACACUAACUGGAGGACCGAACCGACUAAUGUUGAAAAAUUAGCGGAUGACUUGUGGCUGGGGGUGAAAGGCCAAUCAAACCGGGAGAUAGCUGGUUCUCCCCGAAAGCUAUUUAGGUAGCGCCUCGUGAAUUCAUCUCCGGGGGUAGAGCACUGUUUCGGCAAGGGGGUCAUCCCGACUUACCAACCCGAUGCAAACUGCGAAUACCGGAGAAUGUUAUCACGGGAGACACACGGCGGGUGCUAACGUCCGUCGUGAAGAGGGAAACAACCCAGACCGCCAGCUAAGGUCCCAAAGUCAUGGUUAAGUGGGAAACGAUGUGGGAAGGCCCAGACAGCCAGGAUGUUGGCUUAGAAGCAGCCAUCAUUUAAAGAAAGCGUAAUAGCUCACUGGUCGAGUCGGCCUGCGCGGAAGAUGUAACGGGGCUAAACCAUGCACCGAAGCUGCGGCAGCGACACUAUGUGUUGUUGGGUAGGGGAGCGUUCUGUAAGCCUGUGAAGGUGGCCUGUGAGGGUUGCUGGAGGUAUCAGAAGUGCGAAUGCUGACAUAAGUAACGAUAAAGCGGGUGAAAAGCCCGCUCGCCGGAAGACCAAGGGUUCCUGUCCAACGUUAAUCGGGGCAGGGUGAGUCGACCCCUAAGGCGAGGCCGAAAGGCGUAGUCGAUGGGAAACAGGUUAAUAUUCCUGUACUUGGUGUUACUGCGAAGGGGGGACGGAGAAGGCUAUGUUGGCCGGGCGACGGUUGUCCCGGUUUAAGCGUGUAGGCUGGUUUUCCAGGCAAAUCCGGAAAACCAAGGCUGAGGCGUGAUGACGAAGCACUACGGUGCUGAAGCGACAAAUGCCCUGCUUCCAGGAAAAGCCUCUAAGCAUCAGGUAACAUCAAAUCGUACCCCAAACCGACACAGGUGGUCAGGUAGAGAAUACCAAGGCGCUUGAGAGAACUCGGGUGAAGGAACUAGGCAAAAUGGUGCCGUAACUUCGGGAGAAGGCACGCUGAUAUGUAGGUGAAGCGACUUGCUCGUGGAGCUGAAAUCAGUCGAAGAUACCAGCUGGCUGCAACUGUUUAUUAAAAACACAGCACUGUGCAAACACGAAAGUGGACGUAUACGGUGUGACGCCUGCCCGGUGCCGGAAGGUUAAUUGAUGGGGUUAGCGGCAACGCGAAGCUCUUGAUCGAAGCCCCGGUAAACGGCGGCCGUAACUAUAACGGUCCUAAGGUAGCGAAAUUCCUUGUCGGGUAAGUUCCGACCUGCACGAAUGGCGUAAUGAUGGCCAGGCUGUCUCCACCCGAGACUCAGUGAAAUUGAACUCGCUGUGAAGAUGCAGUGUACCCGCGGCAAGACGGAAAGACCCCGUGAACCUUUACUAUAGCUUGACACUGAACAUUGAGCCUUGAUGUGUAGGAUAGGUGGGAGGCUUUGAAGUGUGGACGCCAGUCUGCAUGGAGCCGACCUUGAAAUACCACCCUUUAAUGUUUGAUGUUCUAACGUUGGCCCGUAAUCCGGGUUGCGGACAGUGUCUGGUGGGUAGUUUGACUGGGGCGGUCUCCUCCUAAAGAGUAACGGAGGAGCACGAAGGUUGGCUAAUCCUGGUCGGACAUCAGGAGGUUAGUGCAAUGGCAUAAGCCAGCUUGACUGCGAGCGUGACGGCGCGAGCAGGUGCGAAAGCAGGUCAUAGUGAUCCGGUGGUUCUGAAUGGAAGGGCCAUCGCUCAACGGAUAAAAGGUACUCCGGGGAUAACAGGCUGAUACCGCCCAAGAGUUCAUAUCGACGGCGGUGUUUGGCACCUCGAUGUCGGCUCAUCACAUCCUGGGGCUGAAGUAGGUCCCAAGGGUAUGGCUGUUCGCCAUUUAAAGUGGUACGCGAGCUGGGUUUAGAACGUCGUGAGACAGUUCGGUCCCUAUCUGCCGUGGGCGCUGGAGAACUGAGGGGGGCUGCUCCUAGUACGAGAGGACCGGAGUGGACGCAUCACUGGUGUUCGGGUUGUCAUGCCAAUGGCACUGCCCGGUAGCUAAAUGCGGAAGAGAUAAGUGCUGAAAGCAUCUAAGCACGAAACUUGCCCCGAGAUGAGUUCUCCCUGAGACUUAGAGUCUCCUGAAGGAACGUUGAAGACGACGACGUUGAUAGGCCGGGUGUGUAAGCGCAGCGAUGCGUUGAGCUAACCGGUACUAAUGAACCGUGAGGCUUAACCUU
This 2902-nucleotide ribosomal RNA is filed under the name Escherichia coli. Its description in RNAcentral is "bacterial LSU rRNA". It matches the Rfam family "Bacterial large subunit ribosomal RNA". The record is from RNAcentral. Lineage: Bacteria; Pseudomonadati; Pseudomonadota; Gammaproteobacteria; Enterobacterales; Enterobacteriaceae.